This 253-nucleotide ribosomal RNA is filed under the name uncultured bacterium. Its description in RNAcentral is "partial 16S ribosomal RNA". It matches the Rfam family "Bacterial small subunit ribosomal RNA", at positions 524 to 776 of the family's 1533-position model. The record is from RNAcentral.
UACGUAGGCAGCGAGCGUUGUUCGGAAUUACUGGGCGUAAAGAGUGUGUAGGCGGUGUUCCCAGUCUGUUGUGAAAUCUCCCGGCUUAACUGGGAGGGUGCAGCGGAAACUAGAAUGCUAGAGGGUGGGAGAGGUAAGCGGAAUUCCUGGUGUAGCGGUGAAAUGCGCAGAUAUCAGGAGGAACACCAAUGGCGAAGGCAGCUCGCUGGGACGGUACUGACGCUGAGGCGCGAAAGCGUGGGGAGCGAACAGG